Molecule: long non-coding RNA, 202 nt
Filed under: Elaeis guineensis (African oil palm)
Lineage: Eukaryota; Viridiplantae; Streptophyta; Magnoliopsida; Arecales; Arecaceae
Description: long non-coding RNA (EGUI_LNC002443)
Source: RNAcentral
GCAGGCUUAGAGGGAUCAAACGAGAUUAAAAAUGAAGUUAAAAUAGAUUUAAAUUCAAAGCCGAAAGAUAAUCCGAUCUAAUAUGCAAGUUGGUGGUCCACCAUGGACCACUUGGUUCAUAAGAAAGUUGAUAAGCCAUGAAAUGCUAUAGUAAUUUUCACAUGGCUCAGGCUCUGGCGGGAUGUAUGAGAUUCAAAUCAAA